Poeciliopsis prolifica (blackstripe livebearer) is the source of this 414-nucleotide non-coding RNA. NCBI's taxonomy places the organism in Eukaryota, Metazoa, Chordata, Actinopteri, Cyprinodontiformes, Poeciliidae. The record is from the annotation of a RefSeq genome assembly.
AUGUUCUUUGUUGCUCUGCUGGUGCUGCUGGCUGCUGAAUCCUGGGUGAAAUGUGAACAGCUGACUCAGCCAUCGUCUGUGACUCUGCAGCCAGGUCAACCUCUCACCAUCAGCUGUCAGGUCUCUUAUGAUGUGAGCACCUGGACACACUGGAUCAGACAGCCUGCAGGAAAAGGACUGGAGUGGAUUGGUUAUAUGUGCUCUGGAUGCACAGGAGCUCGUAAAGAUUCUUUAAAGAGCAAGUUCAGUAUUGCAGUACAAGCGUCCAGCAAAACAGUGACUCUGAAUGGACAGAAUAUGCAGCCUGAAGACUCUGCUGUGUAUUACUGUGCCAGACAGAAACCAUACACCCGCAGUGAGACGGACAAGCUGCAGAGCUGUACAAAAAUCCCUCAGCCUGCACACACGUCAUAA